Molecule: ribosomal RNA, 417 nt
Filed under: uncultured Deinococcus sp.
Lineage: Bacteria; Thermotogati; Deinococcota; Deinococci; Deinococcales; Deinococcaceae
Description: bacterial SSU rRNA
Rfam family: Bacterial small subunit ribosomal RNA
Source: RNAcentral
UUAGGAAUCUUCCCCAAUGGGGGCAACCCUGAGGGAGCGACGCCGCGUGAGGGAUGAAGGUUUUCGGAUCGUAAACCUCUGAAUCUGGGACGAAAGACCGGGACAACCGGAGAUGACGGUACCAGAGUAAUAGCACCGGCUAACUCCGUGCCAGCAGCCGCGGUAAUACGGAGGGUGCAAGCGUUACCCGGAAUCACUGGGCGUAAAGGGCGUGUAGGCGGCCUACCAAGUCUGGUUUUAAAGACUGCGGCUCAACCGCAGAAGUGGACUGGAGACUGGUAGGCUAGACCUCUGGAGAGAGAACUGGAAUUCCUGGUGUAGCGGUGGAAUGCGUAGAUACCAGGAGGAACACCGAUGGCGAAGGCAGGUUCUUGGACAGAAGGUGACGCUGAGGCGCGAAAGUGUGGGGAGCAAACC